RNAcentral lists this ribosomal RNA (1098 nucleotides) under Micrococcus luteus. RNAcentral describes it as "bacterial SSU rRNA". It matches the Rfam family "Bacterial small subunit ribosomal RNA", at positions 327 to 1435 of the family's 1533-position model. The record is from RNAcentral. Lineage: Bacteria; Bacillati; Actinomycetota; Actinomycetes; Micrococcales; Micrococcaceae.
CGGCCCAGAUUCCUACGGGAGGCAGCAGUGGGAAUAUUGCACAAUGGGCGAAAGCCUGAUGAAGCGACGCCGCUUGAGGGAUGACGGCCUUCGGGUUGUAAACCUCUUUCAGUAGGGAAGAAGCGAAAGUGACGGUACCUGCAGAAGAAGCACCGGCUAACUACGUGCCAGCAGCCGCGGUAAUACGUAGGGUGCGAGCGUUAUCCGGAAUUAUUGGGCGUAAAGAGCUCGUUGGCGGUUUGUCGCGUCUGUCGUGAAAGUCCGGGGCUUAACCCCGGAUUUGCGGUGGGUACGGGCAGACUAGAGUGCAGUAGGGGAGACUGGAAUUCCUGGUGUAGCGGUGGAAUGCGCAGAUAUCAGGAGGAACACCGAUGGCGAAGGCAGGUCUCUGGGCUGUAACUGACGCUGAGGAGCGAAAGCAUGGGGAGCGAACAGGAUUAGAUACCCUGGUAGUCCAUGCCGUAAACGUUGGGCACUAGGUGUGGGGACCAUUCCACGGUUUCCGCGCCGCAGCUAACGCAUUAAGUGCCCCGCCUGGGGAGUACGGCCGCAAGGCUAAAACUCAAAGGAAUUGACGGGGGCCCGCACAAGCGGCGGAGCAUGCGGAUUAAUUCGAUGCAACGCGAAGAACCUUACCAAGGCUUGACAUGUUCUCGAUCGCCGUAGAGAUACGGUUUCCCCUUUGGGGCGGGUUCACAGGUGGUGCAUGGUUGUCGUCAGCUCGUGUCGUGAGAUGUUGGGUUAAGUCCCGCAACGAGCGCAACCCUCGUUCCAUGUUGCCAGCACGUAAUGGUGGGGACUCAUGGGAGACUGCCGGGGUCAACUCGGAGGAAGGUGAGGACGACGUCAAAUCAUCAUGCCCCUUAUGUCUUGGGCUUCACGCAUGCUACAAUGGCCGGUACAAUGGGUUGCGAUACUGUGAGGUGGAGCUAAUCCCAAAAAGCCGGUCUCAGUUCGGAUUGGGGUCUGCAACUCGACCCCAUGAAGUCGGAGUCGCUAGUAAUCGCAGAUCAGCAACGCUGCGGUGAAUACGUUCCCGGGCCUUGUACACACCGCCCGUCAAGUCACGAAAGUUGGUAACACCCGAAGCCGGUGGCC